Molecule: ribosomal RNA, 460 nt
Filed under: uncultured bacterium
Lineage: Bacteria
Description: partial 16S ribosomal RNA
Rfam family: Bacterial small subunit ribosomal RNA
Source: RNAcentral
CCUACGAGUGGCAGCAGUGAGGAAUAUUGGUCAAUGUGCGCGAGCCUGAACCAGCCAAGUAGCGUGAAGGAUGACUGCCCUACGGGUUGUAAACUUCUUUUAUAAAGGAAUAAAGUGAGGCACGUGUGCCUUAUUGUAUGUACUUUAUGAAUAAGGAUCGGCUAACUCCGUGCCAGCAGCCGCGGUAAUACGGAGGAUCCGAGCGUUAUUCGGAUUUAUUGGGUUUAAAGGGAGCGUAGAUGGGUUUUUAAGUCAGUUGUGAAAGUUUGCGGCGCAACCGUAAAAUUGCAAUUGAUACUGGCAGUCUUGAGUACAGUUGAGGUAGGCGGAAUUCGUGGUGUAGCGGUGAAAUGCUUAGAUAUCACGAAGAACUCCGAUUGCGAAGGCAGCUUACUAAACUGCCACUGACAUUGAUGCUCGAAAGUGUGGGUAUCAAACAGGAUUAGAUACCCUAGUAGUC